Molecule: long non-coding RNA, 536 nt
Filed under: Cyanistes caeruleus (blue tit)
Lineage: Eukaryota; Metazoa; Chordata; Aves; Passeriformes; Paridae
Description: lncRNA (ENSCCEG00000015088.1)
Source: RNAcentral
CCGGGCAGCCCGCGGGGAGCUCCUGCUCCGAGCUGUAUCCUGGGACCAAACACCUCAGCAACUCGCGGGUACAGGACAGAAGUGCUGAAUUCUUGCUGACCCGGGCUGCUUUCCGAGAGGCUGAAGGUUUGUCUGCGGGCCAGCUGAUGGCUUGACUCGGCUGCCCUUCCUCCCCCAGCCAGGCUGACACCGGUGCACGGUAUCGAUCUCACUGCGGUACGGGAGGUGCAGCCAAAGCACCGAGACGCGCUCGCCUCGUACAGUGUAGCAGAGUGAACUUUCAGAAAGUAAAAGUGCUUGUUCAGGAGGCUGAUAGAAUGGGCAAAACUAUGAUCCAGCAUCGAAGUACUAAUGUGUGAUGGAACUGGAACCCCACAUCUAAGUCUCUCCAGACCUCCAGACAUUCAUGUUCUUAUGUAGUGUGUGUGAAGUGACCACAACUUUGGAAGGAAGUUCCAAGACCCUCUCCUGGGUACAGGUGAGGCUUUCCAGGUGAGGAUUGUAUGCUUAAUACUGUUUGUCUGCUUUGAAGAUCC